RNAcentral lists this unclassified non-coding RNA (1195 nucleotides) under Hevea brasiliensis (rubber tree). The record is from RNAcentral. Lineage: Eukaryota; Viridiplantae; Streptophyta; Magnoliopsida; Malpighiales; Euphorbiaceae.
CUCCCACACAAUCUAACACCUUUCUUUUCUCUUCAGACCAGAACCAAUUACAUGGCUUUUUCCUCUGAAAAACUAACACCCUCGCCAUUUCCUUCCACCGCUGAAACAGCCACUGUCCACCACGGCGGCUGCUCUUCAUCUAUCUCCGCCGUCCAUCCAGACAUUCUCCAAACGCAUGUCCUAACACUUCUCGACGGACCCUCCCUCGCCUCCGCCUCUUGUUCCUCCACGGAACUCAACUCCCUCGCUUCUCAAGAUGAUUUGUGGACCAACAUUUGUCGCUCUACUUGGCCGUCCACCGAGAUGCCGCGGUUGCGCCAAGUCAUUUCUACUUUUCCCAACGGUCCUCGUUCCUUCUUCUCUGCCGCCUUUCCUCUCCUCACCAUCGAUCAAGCUUCCGCUACUUCUCUGGUUACUCCUCAUCGUCCAUCCGAACUGAUCUCUGCCGUCGAUAUUUACCACCGGAAUGAGCUCAUUUUCAGUAGAGUUGUGGAGACAGAGACCGAGUCUGGGUGGUUCCGGUGCUCUCCUUUUAGAAUCGACAUGCUCGACCCCAAGGACACGUGUGCUACGCCUAUACCGCAUCCAGAAACACAGGACGCUUGCCGGGAGCUGGCGGAGGAAUUGACGCUGAGCUGGAUUUUGAUAGACGCUACCGGACGGCGAGCCAUGAACCUCUCAAGCCACAAGCCGGUUUCUGUGCAGAGACACUGGCUGAGCGGUGAGGUACACGCGCGGUUUGUAUCGAUUUUGGCCGGCGAGAAAGGAUCAUCAACGGAGUUUGUACAGUGUGGAAUUGUGUUGACCUGUGGAGGAGGGACAGCGGGUGGAGGAAUGCACGUGAGGGAAGUGAGCGUGCAGGUGGAGGACAUGGAUGGAAUGUUUAUGAACGGGAAGGACAGUUUGGGAAUUUUAAACAGAUCAUUCGAGGGCAAGAAGGGAAUUAAGGGAAGAAGCGAAGAAGAAGGAAGGAGAAGGUAUGAAGGAUUUUUGGAAAUGAAAAGAGAAAGAAAAGAGAGAAAAUUGAGAACUGAAGGCACUUUAGACACAUUAUGUGUGGGUUUUGGUUUCUUGAUUCUCGUCUGUCUUGGCUUUGUUUUCUUGAGAUAAAAUUAAAGCUUCAAUAUAGGAAUAAAAAAGAAUUGUACUUACAAUAUACUUUAUAAAUUUAUAAAAUUGAAAAUUUAAAUUAAAA